Poecilia latipinna (sailfin molly) is the source of this 4464-nucleotide RNA transcript. It is a transcript of the gene named ras homolog family member T1a, with no coding region annotated. The transcript is spliced from 21 exons. NCBI's taxonomy places the organism in Eukaryota, Metazoa, Chordata, Actinopteri, Cyprinodontiformes, Poeciliidae. The record is from RefSeq and is a predicted model, not a curated record.
AUGGCUCACUGUAGCAACCCGGUGUUGGAGGUCGGGCAUGCUCCUGAAACGUCCACUGCGAAGUGAUCCACUGGCGCCGAAAUGAACGCGAUUAAGAUAAAAAUACACACAAACAAGACACAGAAACGCUUUUGAAUCGUGUUUUUGCUCGUCUGUUAACCCGCGACUUGACGCAAAGUGUGGAGCAACCGCAGAAGAGCUUUGGGAAGUGUCCGUCCGUUUUGUCCUACAAAGCGGCGGGUGUUUGACAGCGGGAGGGCCCGACGUUAGGAAACCGCUGCGGCUGGAGGAGGAGGAGGCAGGAGAAGAAGGAGGAAGGCUCUCUGAAGACCCAAUGAAACAUUAAGGAGUCAUUUCUGCUGAGGGAAGCGAGCUGAGUCAUGAGGAAGGACGUGAGGAUACUCCUUGUUGGAGAACCCAAGGUGGGGAAGACGUCGCUGAUCAUGUCUCUGGUUAGUGAGGAGUUUCCUGAUGAGGUUCCUCUCAGAGCUGAAGAGAUCACCAUCCCAGCUGAUGUGACCCCAGAGCGGGUUCCCACACACAUCGUGGAUUACUCUGAAGCAGAGCAAACUGAUGAGCAGCUGUAUCAAGAAAUCUCCAAGGCCAACGUGAUCUGCAUAGUUUAUUCAGUUAACAACAAGAAGUCCAUCGAAAAGGUGACGAGCCACUGGAUUCCUCUUAUAAGCGACCGCACAGAUAAAGACAGCAGGGUACCACUGAUUCUCGUGGGGAACAAGUCGGACUUGGUGGAGCACAGCAGCAUGGAGACCAUCCUGCCCAUCAUGAAUCAGUACCAGGACAUUGAGACCUGUGUAGAGUGUUCUGCCAAGAACCUGAAGAACAUCUCUGAGCUUUUCUACUACGCCCAGAAGGCCGUUCUCCACCCGACCGGACCUCUGUACUGCCCAGAGGAGAAGGAGUUGAAACCUUCCUGCAUUAAGGCUUUAACUCGGAUAUUUAAAAUCUCCGACCUGGACAACGAUGGGGUGCUGAACGACAACGAACUCAACUUCUUCCAGAGAACCUGUUUCAAUACGCCUCUGGCACCUCAAGCCUUAGAAGACGUGAAGAACGUGGUGAGGAGGAACAUGGCCGACGGAGUCAGAGAUGACGGACUCACCCUCAAAGGCUUCCUCUUCCUGCACACUCUGUUCAUCCAGCGAGGUCGACACGAAACCACGUGGACGGUGCUGAGGAGGUUCGGAUACGAUGACGACCUGGAGCUCACGCAGGAAUAUCUGUUCCCUCUGAUAAAAGUCCCUCCAGACUGCACCACUGAGCUAAACCACAACGCUUACCUCUUUCUGCAGAGUGUCUUUGACAAACACGACAAAGACAGAGACUGUGCGCUUUCCCCAGAGGAAGUGAAGGACCUGUUCAAUGUGUUUCCCUACAUGCCCUGGGGUCCAGAUGUCAACAACACGGUGUGCACCAACGAUGAGGGAUGGAUCACAUACCAGGGAUACCUCUCCCAGUGGACGUUAACAACAUAUCUGGACGUCCAGAGGAGUUUGGAGUAUUUAGGUUACCUCGGCUACUCCAUCAUCUGUGAACAGGAGUCCCAAGCUGCUGCUAUUACUGUGACGCGUAACAAGCGCAUCGAUCUGCAGAAGAAGCAAACGCAGCGAAGCGUCUUCCGGUGCAACGUGUUGGGGGCGCGCGGCAGCGGGAAAAGUGGCUUCCUGCAAGCUUUCCUCGGCAGAAACCUGCAGAGGCAGAUGCGGAUCAGAGAAGACCACAAGUCCUACUAUGCCAUCAGCACGACCUACGUUUACGGUCAGGAGAAGUACCUGCUGCUCCACGAGGUGAUGCCAGAUUUCGACAUCCUGUCGGAGCCCGACCUGAGCUGCGACGUGGUCUGCCUGGUGUACGACAUCAAUGACCCUCGUUCUUUCGAGUACUGUGCUAAAGUCUACAAGGAAUGCUUCUUAGACAGCAAGACGCCCUGCGUCGUGGUCGCUGCCAAGUCCGACCUGCACGAGGUUCGGCAGCAGUACAGCCAGUCGCCGCUCGACUUCUGCCGCAAGCACAAGCUCCACCCGCCGCAGCCGUUCACGUGCAACACGAACGAGGCGCCCAGUAAGGACCUGUACACCAGACUCACCACCAUGGCCAUGCACCCCCACGCCCGCCUCCGGUGCAUGUGUUCCUGCAACAGGUGCACUUAUUGCCUGUGUCAAAACCUCCUCAAGUUGGAGCUGCUGCGCAGCAUUAAGGCGCAACUCCGCAGGGUCGUUUACAACAGGUGUUCAUAUCCGUGUUUCUGGCUGCCGCUUUUCCUCUUCCUCUUGCAUCUCUUCACCUUUUUUUAACACCUGACGCCCUGUCUUACUUGUUCUCCAGCUUUUAAAUUAAACCCAACUUGGCGCUUAGCGAAAUGCUGCCAUCUACUGGUGUGUGAGAGGUUUUGUCUCCGUCUCUAUAAUAACAGGAGCUCAGUGUUUUGAACCUGGUGGGAGUUGUCGGCUGUGGGAAUGUUUCUGAUAAAUUUGACCCGCAUGGAACCGGACCGUGCCACGUUUCAUUCAGUGCUAACCUUUUUUUGUUUUGAUUGCUUUUUCUUCUUCUCGGUUAUUAAAGCAGCAUGCAGCUGUAGAUCUUCACAGCCAGCUGAGCGAGAACGACUCCAGGAAAUGCUUAGGGUUCACUAAAGUUUCACACCAGGAGAGCCAGAGGGAUCAAAAAGAUUAAUCUGAUAAUAAAUGAAAGAAUCAUAACAUCUUCAGGCUAUAAUAAUAGGUUUAUCAGGGGACUGUGUUACUUUCCAGACUGGCUAUUUUUUGGUGUGAACUGCGUUUAUUUGCUGUGUUUGUGGAGCUUUUUGUGUUUGAACUCUAAAGAGAUGUGGAGCUGGGUGAAACUGUUUUUUUUUGUUUAAAUCAUCAUUAUUAUUUUAUUCUGUUUUAUAUGAUUUAAAAUAAACUUUUCUGUUAAUGAAAAAACAUUUUGAACCACUACUUCCAAUUCACUGGUUUGAUCAAAUUCAACAACCUUUAAUGGUGUAAAGCUUGAAGAUUUUAGAUUUAUACACAUUAAAAAAAACAUUUAAUGUUCACUUCUGAAUCCACUGCCAGUUAUUGCAGAAAUUAACUUUUUUUAAUCGCAACAUUAAAUCAUAGUUUAAUGCAAUCAUAUAACUAUAUUAUAGGAUGCAUUAAGAUUCUUCCAUUGUUUUGAAUUUGGAAGGAGUUCAGUGGUGAACCUUCAACAAAAGUGCUUCACAACUAAUAUUUGUCAGUUGUCAUUGCAAAUGAAACCAACCAAUUAACUUUAGAUUUUAAUAGUCAUUUCAUUAAACAUAAUACAUAGCUCUAUAUUCAUAGCUGUGAAAUCUUUAACAUGAGGGUAUCAGUGUUAGGGUUUAAAGGGAUUCACUGGAUUAAAAGUCUAAUUAUAAAUUGUUUAAAAUGUAUUUUUUUUAAAGAAUCGUGGUCAUUUUGAGGUUCACUGAUGUUUGAUAUUAGUUUCCUUCUGUACCAGAGAUAAUAAACUAUAAACCACUCCCUGAGACUUUUAGCAUCUUGAUCACCUACUGCGGUGAUCAUCAAAUGCCGACUUACUGGCCACUUUAUUAGGUACACCUUGCUACUACCUGAAUGGAGAGUUUUUGCUCUUUAAGCAGCCUCAGUUCUUCUGUGGAAAAGGUUCAGCAAGGUUUCUGGAACAUUCCUUAAUGUUUUUGCUCCGUAUUAACAGGAAAAGAUCGUAUAGUUGGUUGAAGUUUUGUCUUCUGCACAUCCACGAUUCAUUUGCUGUUUCUACCAAUCGUCCCUAGAGCACUACAUAGCAGUGAGACCUGUUGACUAAUCACUUCAAACACCAACAAGCCAUCUUCUGACCCCUGACUUGAGAUUUUGCGUUUAGUCUCUCAAAUCUUUGUUCUUCCACGUUUUGAUGUGGAAGAACAAAAGUCGUCUUUGCCACAUCCAGAUGCUUGAACCCAUUAAGUCUCUGCUUUGUGACUGGCAGCCAACUCGGUGUACCUAAUAAAGUCGCUCCAGCGGUCUUGUGGUUGUUAAACUUCACGCACUGAUAUUGAUAUUUCUGCAUCGUGCAGGUUAAAAUUAAAACAAACCACCUUGGAUUUAAUAUUAAUGCUGGUUUUAAAUUUCUAAUAGUAAAACAGUAACAGAUGCAUCACUAAUCCAUAGUUGCAGCCCCAGUGUGCAUAAUUCUGCGGUAUCUCCCAGCUUCACCUGCUGUGUGGCGUUGUGACUGUUUGUGGGAACGCUGCUGGGCUGGGUGGAAGUAGCUCUGAGCUUCCUGCUGUCAGGGGAGGAUUUCAGGCUGGUGCUGCAGGUUAGACGGUCAUCUCCAGCAUAGAGGAGCCCGCUUAUAUGAAGGCCUCCGCUUGAGCAGCCAGCUUCUUCACAAAGGCACAUGGCCCAGGCGGACCUGAAGAACUCCACCUUCUGGCUGAGGGCCAGCCUCGGUGCCACCGUGUUCGCAGUGUUGGGCUUCGCC